GACGAACGCUGGCGGCGUGCUUAACACAUGCAAGUCGAACGGAAAGGCCUGCUUUCCCUUGUGUGUUGCGGGUACGCGAGUGGCGAACGGGUGAGUAACACGUGAGUGAUCUGCCCCCAAAUUGGGUAUAAGCCUGGGAAACUUGGGCUAAUUCGCGAUAGGACUGCAGGGUGGUGCGUGUGGUGGCAAACGAUUGUCUAGUGGUUGUGGAUGAGCGGGCGGCCUAUCAGCUUGUGGGUGGGGGAAUGGCCUACCAAGGCGGCGACGGGUAGGCGGCCUGGGGUAGUGGCCCGGCACAGUGGGCCUGCGAUCCGGCCACGGUUCCUACGGGAGGCCGCAGUCGGGAAUAUUGCAUUAGGGGUGGUAGCCUGAUGCAGGGACGCCGCGUGGGGGAUGCCGCCCUUCGGGUUGUAACCUCCUUUCGACCGCGCGGAAGCCCCUUGGUUGGACGGGUGGUGACGGUAGUGGGAGAAGAAGCACCGGCUAACUACGUG
This 494-nucleotide ribosomal RNA is filed under the name uncultured bacterium. RNAcentral's name for it is "partial 16S ribosomal RNA". It matches the Rfam family "Bacterial small subunit ribosomal RNA", at positions 28 to 507 of the family's 1533-position model. The record is from RNAcentral.